Non-coding RNA from Ictidomys tridecemlineatus (thirteen-lined ground squirrel), 1476 nucleotides. The record is from RefSeq and is a predicted model, not a curated record. NCBI's taxonomy places the organism in Eukaryota, Metazoa, Chordata, Mammalia, Rodentia, Sciuridae.
UGCACCAGCCCCGCGCCCGCGCCACCAGCGGGAAGCGGCGAGCGGGCAACGCGGGCUCCAGCACAGGAAGCGGCGGCGAGAGGGGCGGCCUGGGAGCUCGGGCUGCCCUGGGAAGCGAGGCCGCAGCGCAGAGACCGGAAAGAGGAACGUCUCCCGGAGCGGCGAGCUGUUCUCGCGUCCCCGCCGCGCACCGCCUCUGAGGAGCGGCCCCGCGGUGCCACCUCAGCCCCGCGCCUCCGCCGAGACCCCGCACCGCAGCGGGAGCAGCUGCGGCUCCGCGCGGCGGGCGCACUCACCUCCUCCGCUACCCGGGCCGCUCCGCCGGCGGCUGUCACUGCAGUCCACUCCCAGCCCAGCGCCGGGUCCUGGUGCUAUUUAAAGAGUCACCGCCGCCACUGCCCACUGGCUGCGCCCCCUCGGCUGCCGCGGCCGAACUAGGCGGCUGUGAGUGCGCGUGCCGCGCCCGCCCCGCCCCGCCCCGCCUCGCAAGCCCGGCCCCCUCCUCCAGGCCCCGCCCCCGCCGGGCGCGUGCGUUGCUAGCGGGUGGCGGGCAAAAGCGGCUGGAGUCACCCGAACUGCCCUCGGGUUUCACAACGGAAUCUGAGGAAGGGCAAAGGGUAAAUCGUAGCGCCCCAGCCCCAAAGGCCCGGAGACUGCGAGUCUGCGAUGCCUUGAGUGUAACGGGCAAAUGCCAGUCCACAUCUGCCUGCGACCAGAAGCUCACAUCUUUGCCUUGUGAAGGUCUUGAACAACCUUGGGAAUCUGAUGAAAGGAUGUUGCCAGUGAAACUGUAAUAACUGCCACGGGGCUGGAUACAGCUGGACGCUGUUGCCACAAGCAGAUUCCAGCCCUCCCUCAUCUCUGUUACUGUCAUUCAGAGAUAGGCACUGUGCUGAAUUCUAUGAACUGAAUCAACAAAAACAGACCGUCCCUGCGCUCACUGAGUUUGACAUCUAGACAUCUGUGCAGUAGAAAGUGAGUCUCCUGUGAGGAAUCAACAUGGAUGUUUCUUUCAUUAACAAGUAUCAUGAGUCUGAGUACUCCCUUUUGGCUCCUGCAGCUGCAGAUAUCCCCUGCAGGAACAUCAGCUCUCCAGGAUUGGAUGGCUGUGGUCAUCUAUUCUUCUAGGAAGCAGCAGCCCAGAUCCUGAGUGAAGGAGAGGAAGGUGGAUGGAAUGGAAGCUUCUUCAGCUCUUGUGCAGUCUAAGACAAGUUCAGCAAGGUGGAUGGAUCUUGCUCUGUUGCUGAGGCUGGCCUACAACUCUCCAUCCUCCUGCCUCGUGAGUCUAUGGGAUUACAGGCAUGUGCCACUGUGUCCAGGUCAGAUCCUUGCUUUCUUGGUCCUGAAAUAGUAUCUAUCUUAUAGUGUUGUGUAGAAUGAAAUGAAAUUUUGUGAUAGUGUGUUAUACAACGUUAACAGGAGUGCUCAUGUAAUAAAAACCAACAAAGCACAAUUAUUAAAGAUGAAUUACAGGAA